CAUUUGGUAGCUAACAAGGCACAGCAACAGCUUUUUAAGCUGUUAAUCGGUGAUCACCAACCACCCCAAAUGA
This 73-nucleotide transfer RNA is filed under the name Chthonerpeton indistinctum. RNAcentral describes it as "tRNA-Lys". Lineage: Eukaryota; Metazoa; Chordata; Amphibia; Gymnophiona; Typhlonectidae. The record is from RNAcentral.